GAUGAACGCUGGCGGCGUGCCUAAUACAUGCAAGUCGAGCGAACAGACGAGGAGCUUGCUCCUCUGACGUUAGCGGCGGACGGGUGAGUAACACGUGGAUAACCUACCUAUAAGACUGGGAUAACUUCGGGAAACCGGAGCUAAUACCGGAUAAUAUAUUGAACCGCAUGGUUCAAUAGUGAAAGGCGGUUUUGCUGUCACUUAUAGAUGGAUCCGCGCCGCAUUGCUAGUUGGUAAGGUAACGGCUUGCCAAGGCAACGAUGCGUAGCCGACCUGAGAGGGUGAUCGGCCACACUGGAACUGAGACACGGUCCAGACUCCUACGGGAGGCAGCAGUAGGGAAUCUUCCGCAAUGGGCGAAAGCCUGACGGAGCAACGCCGCGUGAGUGAUGAAGGUCUUCGGAUCGUAAAACUCUGUUAUUAGGGAAGAACAAAUGUGUAAGUAACUAUGCACGUCUUGACGGUACCUAAUCAGAAAGCCACGGCUAACUACGUG
Molecule: ribosomal RNA, 496 nt
Filed under: uncultured bacterium
Lineage: Bacteria
Description: partial 16S ribosomal RNA
Rfam family: Bacterial small subunit ribosomal RNA
Source: RNAcentral